CUCUUAUCCAGAGCGGUAGAGGGACUGGCCCUUUGAAGCCCAGCAACCUACACUUUUUGUUGUAAGGUGCUAACCUGAGCAGGAGAAAUCCUGACCGAUGAGAG
This 104-nucleotide non-coding RNA is filed under the name Listeria fleischmannii. Its description in RNAcentral is "SAM-I sequence". It matches the Rfam family "SAM riboswitch aptamer (S box leader)". Rfam says of the family: The SAM riboswitch is found upstream of a number of genes which code for proteins involved in methionine or cysteine biosynthesis in Gram-positive bacteria. The SAM riboswitch acts at the level of transcription termination control. RNAcentral also lists the same sequence under 1 other name. The record is from RNAcentral. Lineage: Bacteria; Bacillati; Bacillota; Bacilli; Caryophanales; Listeriaceae.